RNAcentral lists this long non-coding RNA (497 nucleotides) under Marmota monax (woodchuck). The record is from RNAcentral. Lineage: Eukaryota; Metazoa; Chordata; Mammalia; Rodentia; Sciuridae.
GGCAUCUGGGAACUUUGAUUUUUCAGUUUUUAAUAACACACAAAGAUGAUGAAGGUCCCUAAAUGGCAUGAACAUUGUAGUUUAUCUAUGCAUUCUUCAGUCAUAUUCAUAGUCCUGUUGUGCCAGGGCAGUGGGAUAGGUUGCCAAAUGAGCAGAGAAAAUACCUAGAGACUCCAUAUAGCUAAAAGUCCUUAUUGAGAAAUGCUUAUGGGGAGGGUCCAGCAGUGACAGGCCGAACAGACUGCACCUGCCUCUCUCACAUUGGUCCAUGACAAUAGAAGCAGAGUGAUUACUUCUCAUUAUAGGCAUGUUUGUCCUAGAGAGUUGGUAAAGGAGUGAAAAGCAAUGAAUUCCAAACAUCAGUAUGUAGAGCUCAAUGAUAGUCACUUCAUUCGUGGGCUGGGCUUUGGCACCUAUAAACCUCAAGAGUUAAUAGUAAGGGGUUGGGUUGAGGGCUCAUAAGAAAGUAGUGACAAGAUAAAUGGAAUCCAAUCUAG